Molecule: long non-coding RNA, 10118 nt
Organism: Alligator mississippiensis (American alligator)
Lineage: Eukaryota; Metazoa; Chordata; Crocodylia; Alligatoridae
Exons: 3
Source: RefSeq, a predicted model, not a curated record
GGUUACAUCUCAUCUACAUUACUUUUUUAUUUCUUCUUUAGUGAAGGAAGAGAAAAUGAAUAGUUAAGAACAACGGAUGAUAGAACAGGGACUGGAACUUCCCAGCAAACCAAGAGGCUAGCACUUGUAGUUGCAGCACUGCCAAGAAAAAGCCUAAAACUUUCAAUAAUAAUGUGUGUCAUAUGUGAAAAAAAACUUCAACAUCCAAAAAGAACCCCUUACAGCAACUUUCCCAGGAUACAUGGAAUAAACCUGCACAAAGAGCUCAAGAAUGGAAAGACUUAUGCACAAGUUUUGAUACGCUUUAUGAGCGAAUACAGGUCAACAAAAUAAGCCAAAGAAAGUGCAUAAAAACUGUAAGUUGAAUGUUGUAGGCAUUAACUUGAAGUGUGCACAAGAGGCAUACUAUCUGUUAAGUGUUGCAAGAGAGACUUACUGAUGAACCAACUGAAUCACGAGUAAGAAGUAGCUGAGAAUGUCCCUUGUUAGCUAGGGGCAGGGUCUGAGCAGUGCAGAGAGAAGCAGGUGGGGGUGGAGGAGGUGCUGCAGACAGGCCAACCUAGCCAGACCCUUGGGAAGGCAGCAGCUGGAGGAGAGAAGGGGCUGGGUGGGAAGUGGGGGCUACCCCUGGGCUCUGCAGAUUCAGGCCAUGGUGAGCAGGUAGUGGUACCCAGUGGCACCUGAGGUGGGGUCCGGCCCAGCGAGGCCCAUGCAGCUCCACAGGGAUGGGGCUGAGUACACGCCCAAUGCUUGCCAUGGUGCUGGGACCUGUGGCUGCUCCAGAGAGCCCAGAGCAGCAACUUAAAAAACAAAAUUUUUUUAAACAAUUUCCUCACACGCCUCUUGGCAUGACAAGAAAAAUGGCUCUGUGUGCCACUAAUUGGCAUGCAUGCUGGGGAUUGCCUAGCCCUGCUCCAUGAUCCUUGUGCAAGAAGUUUGAAGAUCAUUUUGGAGAAGAUGCUAGGUUUCAGUGCAGGUAUCAUAGAAAUUAUUUGUCCAUAGUUUAUUCCCCCAAGCAUGGAGAAGCAUAUGUUGAAAGUGCAGUGAACAGUUGGGGUAUAGACACUCCAAAACUGGUAUGGACUGUAGCCAAGCUUCUUUACUCCAAGCAUCAGGCAGAGGCUUGAAUCCCAUGGCCAUAUGGAAUCAGCAAACUGAAAGAGGACAACACACCCAAUUACAUUCAUAAACUUGUGGCAUUACUUGCUAAUCUUCAUUCUACAUUUAAAGAAGGUCCUGUGCUGGUUGUAGAACAACUGCUACCAGCUGUACAUUUUCUGUCUGAAGGACUAUUGCACCUAAUCACAGGAAAAUUACAGCCAAUGUAAGUCACAUUAUCUAUGUAUGGUCACAACAUGACGGGUAAUAAGCAAACUCAUCCAAAUCCUGAAGGAAAUUAAACUUGGCAUUUCUUAUAACCUUGUUCUUGAUGAACUUUCAGCAUGGACACUGCAGGAAUGCCACGAAUCUGACCAUAGUUCAAAACUUACAGUAGAGACACCACAAUAAAUUCAGCAUGGUCAGUUGUAUCCAAGUGAAAUUAAAGGCCAGCCUUGUACUGUUGUCAUGGAUAAUGGUGAUUUCAAUGAAGAUGGGUUAGCAGGCUCCAAAAUAAGCUAUUAUACAAAUGUAAUUAUGGCACAACCAAUUUAAUUUCACCAAGAAUUAACCAUUUCAGAUACAACAACCUUGGUUAUACAAAAACCUGAUGUUCAGAAAAGUUUAGUCAGCCCAGUUAUCGCCAAAAAUUAUGGGCUUAGUCAGCCCAGUUAUCGCCAAAAAUUAUGAGCUCAACCACAAGCACAAAGAUUCAAGGUUAGUUUUGAUGGAAUAGUGGUGCACUGGCCCACACACUUCUUGAAAUGAUGCAACCACAUGGAAAGGUCCCAAGCAUUUAAUGGAUAUCAUUGCGGUCUUGAAAGAAAUGUCUUGAAGUGGGAAACAUACAAUGUUAAAUGUUAUGCACAGCCUCCAAGCAGAGAGCCAAAAAGUUGCUGACCUGGAGAUACCAGUGAUUCAGUUGGUUGCAGAUCAAGCAGUGUAUAGGUAUAUUGAAGAGGCCCUUCACAAAGAUUGUAGAAUCAUAUAAAAUAAGGGUUGGAAGGGACCUCAGGAUGUCAUCUAGUCCAACCCUCUGCUCAAAGUAGGACCAUCCCCGACUAGAUCAUCCCAGCCAAAGUUUUGUCUAGCCAGGUCUUAAAAACUUCCAAAGAUGGAGAUUCUACCACCUGUUCCACUGUUUCACUACCCUUCUAGUAAGAAUUUUUUUCCUAAUAUUUAACUUAAACUUUCCUUGCUACAACUUGAGACUGUUGCUCCUUGUUCUGUCAUCUGCCAACACUGACAAUAGUCUAGUUCCAUCCUCUUUCAAACCCCGCUUCAGGUAGUUGAAGGCUACUAUUAAAUCUCCUCUCAGUCUCCUCUUUGUCACAACCCAAAGUUGUGAGUUUUUGUUUGUGUGCGCUUCGGCAAUGCUAAAUUGCAGUUUCCUUGCACGGUGGAGUUCUCUGCUGCAGAAGAGAACUCCGGUGCAACGGGGAAUUUCCCGCCAAUUUGAAGCUUCCUUUGCAUGGUGCAUUUCUUUUGCAUCUCAGAGAUGAACAGUGCAAAGGAGUUCCCGCCAUUUGUAUGAGAGUUCAUGCCACAUUAUUGGCCAACUCUAAUAUAUGCACACGUAACGGCUAGCGAUUGGCUUGCUAGCCGUAUAAAGGGCUUGGGUGGCUUCCACCCAGGUUGGAGAGAAAUCACUUGGAGAGAAAUCACUUAAAGAGCUUGAAGAUCUCUAAGCGCUGCGGAUCCUCACGGACCCAACGCAUUUCUUAAGCAGGCAACAGAGGUCUAAACAGCCUCUGGCCUCUCCCCGUCGCCAAGCGCAAUCCUAGACGUAUCCCUUUCCUAUAUACUCAAUUUUCGAACCCACGGAGCCUUAACAACUCCAGGGCCUGAGAACCGGACAGACCUCACGGAGCUUCGACAAGUCUGUGGGAAAGAAAUUGCCGAACCUGUGGAACCUUAACAACUUCGGGGCCAAAGAACCGAAUUUGUCGUAGUCCUCCAACAAGGAUUUAAGUGGAGCUGCACCUGGAAACUGUCCAGCCUACACCGCGACCAUCUUGGGUGUCAUUGAUAAAAACAUUGAACAAAACUGGCUCCAGGACCGACCCAUGAGGCACUCCACUUGAUACCAGCAGCCAACUAGACAGUGAGCUAUUAUUACUCUCUGAGUCUAUCCGCCUUAGAGUCCAUUCCUCAAGCCUAUACUUCCUUAACUUGCCUGCAAGAAUGUUGUGGGAAACUGUUACCAAAAGCCUUGCUAAAAUUGAGGUAUAUCACAUCCACUGGUCUCCCUACAUCCACAGAGUCAGUCACUUCUGAUCAUAGAAGGCAAUCAGGUCGGUCAGGCAUGACUUGCCGCUGGUGAAUCUACGCUGUUUCUCAUCACCUUUUUCUCUGCCAAGUGCUUAGAAAUGGAUUCCUUGAGGAUCUGCUCCAUGAUUUUUCCAGGGACUGAGGUAAGGCUGACUAGUCUGUAGUUCCCUGGAUCUUCCUUUUCCCCUUUUUUAAAUAUGGGCACUACAUUGUAGCAGAAAGCCCCUUUUACUCUUGCCUGCAGUUGCUCUCCCCUCCUUGGAUAUGUUUUUCCUCUUCUACCUUUUCUUCCUUCCUCUUUCUUUCACUUUAAGAUAAGGAAUUGUGUUUUGAAAUUUGUAUGUGUGCAUUUUGUAUCUCCCCUUGUAUUUUGGUAUUUUUAUCCAUUUGUGUGCCAUGGCAUUACUUUUGUAGCUUGUAUUUUAUACUCUUCACCUUUCAACUUUCAACUAAAUGUGUUUAGUUUCAUAAGUAAGUUAUACAUUGUAACAAUGUUAACAAGGGCAGGAAUCAAACUGCCCUUCCCUGUAUCAGGCUGGUCCAUGAAAGAAAGAGUGAAAUCAGUGAUUGAAUGUGUAACACGGUAGCAGGCAGCGAUUAACACCUAAGGAAACUGCAGAUCAACCAAAGGAAGAACUCAAUAGAAGACAAUGCAGCAACCGGGACAUCUCUAAACGUCACUGAUCAAGGGCUAGAAGCCCUGGUCUGAGUUAAUCAACGCCGGGGACCAACUUUUGGGCUGAAUAUCUCCAAAUCAACUGCUCCCAGAGCUCUAUUCAAAAUUCAUCAACGGACUCCCAAACCUGCACGUACGUGCGGACAACCCCUGGGGCUGACAGAUGCCAUCCAGUAGCCACUGAGGGGGAAGUCCCACGAGGGUCAAUGACCCCUGGAUUGGGCAAACCUGAAAACUGGGGAGUCACCAAAGUCUGCCAAGGACAGAUAAAAAGCAGUGAAAAGUGACCCUCAGGGGCGCCCUCUUGAUCUCCAACUUGACCAGCACCUGACCUGUCCAGCCAGAAGGACCAGCUGGCGACCCCCUUCUGCAAGAUAACACCAUGCUGAAAGAAGCCUCAAUGACAGACUCCAGCGCCUGUGGGAUAAGUAUACCUGACUCUUGUAGCUUGCUAGUGUGUGUGUGUGUGUGUGUGAAAGGACCAGCCCCAAGGUUUAUGAUUUAACUCAUUACAGUGUUUCAAUCCACCUAAUAAACUAGAAUUUUAAGGAUCCUGAGUUGGACAUCUGUAGCCAACAACGUUUGCCCUUUUCCAAUCAUCAAGAACCUCUCCUGAUUGCCAUGGGUUUUCAAAGAUGAUGGCCAGUGGCUCUGCAGUCUCAUCAGUCACUCCCUCAGUACCCAAGGGUGCAUCCUGUUCGGCACCAUGGACUUGUAUAUUUCCAGCUUUUCUAAAUAGUUCCUCACUGAUGAUUACUCGCAUUCUUCCCAAACUGUGCUACCUGGUGCAGUAGCCUGAGAGCUAGCCUUGCCUGUGAAGACUGAGGUGAAAAGGGCAUUGAAUACUUCAGCCUUUUUCUCAUCAUGUCACUAGGUUGCUGCCUCCAUUUAGUAAGGGACCCACAUUUUCCCUGAUCUUUCUUUUGUUGCUGACAUACUUGUAGAAACUUCUUACCCUUCAUGUCCCAUGCUAGCUACAACUCCAAUUGUGCUUUGGCCUUCUUGACUUCCCUGCAUGCCUGAGCAAUGCUUUUAUACUCUUCUCUAUUUAUUUGUCCAAGUGUCCACUUAUAAGCUGCUUUUUUGUGACUUGGUUUACUGAAGUCUUCCCUGCUAAGCCAAGCUGGUCUUCUGCUAUACUUGCUGCACUCAUUGUAAGGUUUCUUGCAAGUACAGCCAAUUCUCCUGGACUCCUCUUCCCCUCAGACUGCCUUCCCAGGGGAUCCUGACCAAGAGUUCUGAGUCAGUCUGCUUUUCUGAAGUCCACAGUCCUUACUCUGCUGCUCUCCAUCCUUCCUUUCCUCAGUAUCCUUAACUCAAAUGUCUUGUGAUUACUACUGCCCAAGUUGACAUCCACUAUACUACAUUCCCCACCAAUUCUUCCCUGUUUGGGAGCAGCAGCUCAAGAAGAGCAUGGCCCUUAGUUAGCCACUCCAGCACUUCUGCCAUGAAGUUGUGCCCAAUACUCUCCAAAAGCUUCCUGGAUUGCCUGUGCAUUGCUGUAUUGUCCUCCCAGCAGAUGUCAAGAUGACUGAAGCCCGCCAUCAGAAACAGCACUUGUGAUUGGGAAGCUUUCACUAGCUGUUUGAAGAAGCCUCAUCCACCGCUUCCUCCUGGUCUGGUGGUCUAUAGCGACACCCAGUACAAUAUUACCCUUGUUGCUCUCCCCUCUAACCUUAACCUAGAGAUUUUCAACAGGCCUAUCUCCAGUUUCAUACUGGAUUUCUGAGCAAUUGUACAUCUUUUACAUACAGUGCAAUUCUUCCUCCUCUCCUCCCCUGCCUGUCCUUCCUGAACAGUUUGUACCCACCCAAGACAGUGCUCCAGUUGUGUGAGCUAUCCCACCAAGUCUCUGUUAUUCCAAGCAUGUCAUAGUUCUGUGACCGAGUGAGAACUUCUAAUUCUUUCUGCUUGUUUUCCAGGCUCUGUGUAUUCAUGUACAGGCACCUGAGGUAAGUAGUCAAUUGCCCUGAUUUGUCAGGGCAUAUGAGAACACCUCCCAUCACCCUUCCUGCUUGCUCUUCCUCUAGGUCUCCCACAUCCCCACCUACUCCAGGACUUUGGUCUCCAUUCCCUGGUGAGCCUAGCUUAAAACCCUCCUCACUCAGUUAGCGAGCCUGCUUGCAAAGAUGUUCUUCCCUCUCUUCAUCAGAUGGAUCCCAUCUCUCCCCAGCAAUCCUCUCUCUUGGAAGAGCAUCCCAUGGUGAAAGCAGCCAAAUCCCUGCUGGCAACACCACCUGUGCAGCAGGUACCUCCUGAAGACUCCUCAAGCAACUGACAGCUUGAAACAGGUGGUAGAUAUCACUACAGAAAAUGAACAUGAUGAAUUCAUCAAUUCAACUGCUUUUCAGGAAUUGGUACGUUCAGCAUUUGAAGAAGUGCUUAGUUGUGAAUCAGAUAUGCCUGAGUAUUUUCUGUCUUAUAUCUCUGAUGCUGAAAUCCUUUUUUGACAUUACCAUUGUCUGAGGAGUGGAGCAAAUUUUGAAGAGUGCUUAUCAACUUCCACUGUUAGCAGCUUAUGGAAAUGUCAACUAUCUAGAAUACCUGUCCUUGUAUUACUGGUGAAUGACAACAUUGAGAAUAUGAAAAGGUGCACAUGGCUACAAUGUUUUGAUUUUUGGUGACUGGAAAGACUUACAGCAAACUGCCUCCAGACCAGGUCAUUGAAAUGACCAUGAACAAAGAAUCCAAGAACAAAAGUAGUGGGGGCCAGAUUGGAUUUACCAAGAAUCUAUCCAUGGUUGCAGUCAACAUACCCAGUAGACCAGUUAUUAUGCAGUUAAGGGAAAAACUAAAACAGGUGCCUCAUUUCAAGCAACACUUGUAUCGCCAUCCAGAACUGGGUCCACCAAGAAUGGAGAUGGACUGCAAGGUUGCUGAUUCUGUGAAGACCGCUCUGGAAGAAUGGGAUGCCGACCCAUGGGAUCUGCAUCUAUGAGGGUAAUGUGAUGGUGGAAAACAUUUUGGAUAGACUUUCUUCCAGAACUCAGUCAAUACAUGAAAUUUACCACAUGGAAAAGCAAAACAUUUGCGACAAAGACAACUGCAACCACAUGCAAGCAAGAGAGUGUAGGAAGAUGGUUGACUACACUUCAAUGAAACAAGUCACUGACCUUCUAACCAGCAAAAAAAAAGACAACCAUAACUUCAGAAGAAAUCAUGCAAUACAGAAUUACUGCUGAGCCUUUUGCUCUUGACAGCAGAUGGAAUGUUCCAGAAACCUGUCAAAUCAAAGUUCAUAACAUUGAUGAACCUCCAGUUGAUCUCACCACCAUCAUAUUAUUGUGCAUUAAUAGAUGUUGGAAUGAAAUGGAAUAAAGUCCAAAUAAAGUCCCACCAAGCAACACAUGGUCUGAGUAAGUCCUCAGUUUCUUCAAGUAUGUUGCUGGCUGACAUCCACAAGCAAUGGCAUUUCAUUUCAUGAAUGCUGUUUAUGAUGAAGAACUGUUGAAGACUAGUACAAAACAGCAUGAGCAACAGCCUUGCUCAAAGCCAUUUGGGUUCAAUUCCUAAUGUCUACGCUGUUUCUGACCAGCAAACGUCUACUGGAGCAUCCUGGCACUCAUUUCUAACAAAGCAUCCUAACAAAAGGAGACCAUAUUUCCUCUAGAAUGAAUGCUGUUCUUACUUCCACCACGCUGACCUAUACUUCACAAUUAAUCCAAUCUGUUAGGAUUUAAAAUCCAGAAAACAGAGCGUGCUUUGUAUUGAAAUCUCCAUGCGAGGCUGGCAAAAUGGCGUUUCCUCCAUACACUCUUGAUUUCGAAGAUACUUAUGUAUAGAUUGUUGCUUCCUACAUGAGUCAUGUGACUAAGCAGAUAUGACCAUGUACAAGAAGAAACCAGGAGACCAUCAUUCUACUACUGCUGUUCGUUAUUUCCCAAGUGUGAUGUAGCAUCUGCUGGUCUUGGGGCUUACAGAUGCAUUGGAGCAGACAGUGGGAGGUUUCUUUGGCUGUGGUAAAGUGACAUCAAUGAAGCAAACCUUACAGUCAAAAGAUAUGAUGUAUAUGGAGACUAUGCAACAACUUGCAAAAAAAAAGUGAGAAGCUUACUGAAGAUCCAUUCCAUAAACUGGCUUUAUUCAUUGUCAGAAUACUUUACAGUGCGAGCGAUAGUUCUCCACUAUGAAUGGAGAGAUUCAAAACAUGCACAAACUUGUGAUCUAACAAAUUUUGGGUGGACAUCAUGUGUGGAUGUGUUGGAACCUGAUGCAUAUUAAAAGUGGACUGCCAGAUGGAAUGAAAUUGCCUCUAAUCCAUGAAAAUGGACAUUCAGAUGAGCCAAUUAAAGCUACUGUUGUAGAGUCAUCUGAAGAAGAGUGAUACAGAAGAAUGCCUAGAUUAAAAAUAUCCAGUGUAUUCCAUAUUACAGACUUGACUUCAAAUUUGAGUUGCAGUGUUUUAUUUUACUUAAAUGUAUUCCAUAAUCACUUGUCCCUUUGUUAUUAAUAAUAUUAAAUAUGACUUUGAAAAAAAUAGAUGGUAAAACUUUCCACUUGAAAAAUACUUUUGGUGUUGCUAAAAAAAAGCAGUCAGUAUUGAUGGGUUUUGCAUUUAAAGGCUUGGAGAUGCCAAACAAUGGGUUAUUACUUAUCAAAAGACAAAAGGAAGCUUGUAGGCUAAUUACAAUACCUAUUUAAAGUAGUUUAGAAAAAUCAAAAUUAUUCAUCUUUUUUGUUAUGACCACCAUUUUUAAAGACAGAGGCUAAACGCCAAAAUUAGAAAAGUAACCCCCACAGGCUAAAUUUCAUCCUAAGCCACUCAAAAAUGAUUUCCAAUCAUAAAAAGGUGCCCUAAAAAAAACAAUGCAUAGGCUAUAUAUAUAUCUAUAUAUAUAGUCCAUGCAUUUUUAAGGGACUUAUUUAUGACUGGAAAUAUAUAUAUGAUACAUAUAUAUGACUGGACUAUAUAGGCAGAUACAUCCUUUUCUUUAUUGAUCCAUAACCACAGUUCUUUGAAGAGGAUCAGUUUGUUUUUCAUACUAGGAAAGGCUAUGUGGCUCACUACUUAGUUCCAGAAAGUCAGAAGUUUGCUAGGCAUCGAAACUGGAGGGUUCUAGAUGGCUUAUAAAGUAGAUUUUCAUCUGGAAUUACACCCACCUGUUAGAGACUUUACAAACCCAGAAAAAUCAAGAGACUGGCCAAGGCUAUGCUAUGAAGCUCUGCUGUCAUAGCUGUAUCAGCCAGGAAUGGGAGAGGGAAAAGAAAAUAAAUCAGUCAUUCCCCAUCACCUGUACAGCUAUGCUAGUCAAAUCCUUGGUGUAAAUACAGACAGACUAUCAUCUUGGCUUUGGUGGUAGGUAAUGGGGGUAGCAAUUCUAGCAAAAAUAGACAUGUUGCAUGCUCAUUAGACAGCUCUGUCAAUGUAGAUAUAACAGAAGGGGCUCUUCUAGUGUAGAAAAGCCUUCAGGUGAUUUUAGUAGACAAUUCUUGUAGCUCUGAAUCUGUACUUUACAUGGUAGAGCCCUCUAGUCCACUGCUGAAAAAGAGCACUGGGAAAACCCUUGUUUGCUCCAUGUUCCUCUGCGUCUAAUUCACAUUUCCAAGAAUUGGUGGUUUUAAGAGUUCUUCAGAAGCAAAGAGGAAUGUACAACUAAACAGGGUGGAAGUAAAAAUACGAGCAUCUAAAUAUCCUAAAUCUAGCCAGGAGGGUAAGAAUAGGAAGAAGAGCCCCUGGGAAGAGGAAUGCCAGCCAUAAGAACCAAAAAGAGACCAUUUGAGCACAUCAGGAAAAACAGCCUCCCCCCCCCCCUUUUUUUUUUUUAUAUUGUUUUAAAGUGGAAGAGAAAGGAAAAUGGCUUGAAUGCUUUUUCUUCACUCAAACACAAAUGCAAGGAAGCUUGCUGCAGUCACAAUGGUAAGCAUCUUCAGAUGUCCAGACUUGGAGGCUGUAGAAGAGAUCAAGUCAAUAACUUCAGUUCCUGCCAACCCCCAGCAAAAGCAUGUACAUGCUUUAGAGCCUAAACUGAGUGACACGCUAGCUUGACAAAUCUCCACAAAUUUCAAAUGUGAAUCAAGGGUGUACUUGGUAUUCAAAUGUGAAUCAGGUAUUUAUUUAACACUGAGGGGAGAA